This 502-nucleotide ribosomal RNA is filed under the name uncultured bacterium. Its description in RNAcentral is "partial 16S ribosomal RNA". It matches the Rfam family "Bacterial small subunit ribosomal RNA", at positions 30 to 523 of the family's 1533-position model. The record is from RNAcentral.
AUUGAACGCUGGCGGCAGGCUUAACACAUGCAAGUCGAGCGGGGUGAUGGUGCUUGCACUAUCACUUAGCGGCGGACGGGUGAGUAAUGCUUAGGAAUCUGCCUAUUAGUGGGGGACAACAUCUCAAAGGGAUGCUAAUACCGCAUACGUCCUAGGGGAGAAAGCAGGGGAUCACUUGUGACCUUGCGCUAAUAGAUGAGCAUAAGUCGGAUUAGCUAGUUGGUGGGGUAAAGGCCUACCAAGGCGACGAUCUGUAGCGGGUCUGAGAGGAUGAUCCGCCACACUGGGACUGAGACACGGCCCAGACUCCUACGGGAAGCAGCAGUGGGGAAUAUUGGACAAUGGGGGGAACCCUGAUCCAGCCAUGCCGCGUGUGUGAAGAAGGCCUUAUGGUUGUAAAGCACUUUAAGCGAGGAGGAGGCUCUUUUGGUUAAUACCCAAGAUGAGUGGACGUUACUCGCAGAAUAAGCACCGGCUAACUCUGUGCCAGCCGCCGCGGUAA